This 1123-nucleotide ribosomal RNA is filed under the name uncultured Nosema. RNAcentral describes it as "SSU rRNA". It matches the Rfam family "Microsporidia small subunit ribosomal RNA". The record is from RNAcentral. Lineage: Eukaryota; Fungi; Microsporidia; Nosematidae.
AUGUUUAUUGAAUAUAAAGAAAAGACGAACAGCCUCAGUAACUCUUAUUUUAUUUGAUGUAUUAGGAUUAUAACUAUGUUAAAUUAUAGAUAACAAUAAUACAAUAAGAAUAAGAUCUAUCAGUUAGUUGUUAAGGUAAUGGCUUAACAAGACUAUGACGGAUAACGGUAUUACUUUGUAAUAUUCCGGAGAAGGAGCCUGAGAGAUUGCUACUAAGUCUAAGGAUUGCAGCAGGGGCGAAACUUGACCUAUGAUAUGAUAUUGAGGCAGUUAUGAGUAGUAUUUUUAAUUAUUGUAGUAUUGUAAGUAUAUACUACAAGAUAAAUCGGAGGGCAAAUCGAGUGCCAGCAGCCGCGGUAAUACUUGUUCCGAUAGUGUGUAUGAUGAUUGAUGCAGUUAAAAAGUCUGUAGUUUAUUAUUAAUAAGCAUUGUGAGGUAUAUUGUAUGGUUAGGAGAGAGAUGAAAUGUGAUAACCCUAACUGGAUGAACAGAAGCGAAAGCUAUAUACUUAAAUGUAUUAUUAGAACAAGGACGUAAGCUAGAGGAUCGAAGAUGAUUAGAUACCAUUGUAGUUCUAGCAGUAAACUAUGUUAAAUCAUAGAUACAUUUUAAUAUGUAUUUAUGUAAAGAAAUUAAGAUUAUAUUGACUCUGGGGAUAGUAUGAUCGCAAGAUUGAAAAUUAAAGAAAUUGACGGAAGAAUACCACAAGGAGUGGAUUGUGCGGCUGAAUUUGACUCAACGCGGGGUAAUUUACCAGGGUAUCACAUGAUAUAAUAUUUUAUCAUGAUAGUGGUGCAUGGCCGUUUCCAAUGGAUGCUGUGAAGUAAUGAUUAAUUUCAACAAGAUGUGAGACCCUCUAUUAAGACAGAUGUAGUGAUACAUAUGAAGGAGAGGAUUAAAACAGGUCCGUUAUGCCCUAAGAUAAUCUGGGUUGCACGCGCAAUACAAUAAUAUUUAAUAUUAUAAGGGAUAAUAUAAUGUAAGAUAUAUUUGAACAUGGAAUUGCUAGUAAAUUUUAUUUAAUAAGUAGAAUUGAAUGUGUCCCUGUUCUUUGUACACACCGCCCGUCGCUAUCUAAGAUGGUAUUAUCUAUGAACAAAUUUAUAAAGUGAAUAGAUAGUAC